UAUCCCCCCAGCAUGCCCUACCAGUACAACGAGCCCUACUAACAGAUGUGUGAAGACGAACGGAGAGAUGAGAAGUGCAUAGAGAGAGGGAUCUGCUGAACCAGGGAGGAAGCGUGAGGACGAAGUGGAAGAAAUGCGUCAUCACCGCUGUAUCACGACUCUGAUGUGACGCUCUGUUCUGCUCUGCGCUGCGGACGUUAAAUGUUCCUCAACCUAGUGAGUGUUUUCAUGUUGACAUGCUCUCACAGGCACGUUUCUAGUGUGUGAUAUUGUGUGCAGUCACCCUACAAACACACUCCUGAAACCUACUGUUAAUUCCCUUUUAAAAGAUGGAUCAUUCUGUGGAGCAAUCACCUGUGUCAAAAUGUGCUGCUGUUCCUGAAGAGGGCCCCAGAGGACUGGAUGUGAAUUACAGAGACCUGAUUGGUAACACCACUGCA
Molecule: long non-coding RNA, 440 nt
Organism: Clupea harengus (Atlantic herring)
Lineage: Eukaryota; Metazoa; Chordata; Actinopteri; Clupeiformes; Clupeidae
Source: Ensembl